This is a long non-coding RNA of Bos taurus (domestic cattle), 1658 nucleotides long. Lineage: Eukaryota; Metazoa; Chordata; Mammalia; Artiodactyla; Bovidae. The record is from Ensembl.
CUAAAAUCAUCCUUAGAAGCUCAACACAAGCUGAGUCCCCCACCCCGAAUUCCAGGCCUGGGAGGAGGGAAGGUGGCACUUACUGGCACUAUGGGCAGCUCCUCCCACCAGCAGAUCCUGUCGGACAUGCUUAAUUGAUAUUCCUGUCAUGGUAAUGCCAUGGCCGAGCUGUUAACAAAGUCAUACGUGAUGUGACGGCUGCUUGCGGGCCACCUAGAGGGGCACCUGCCCCCAGGAGGCCUCGGGCGGAAAUCUUCCUGUGGCUUUUCCUCCUCGGACGCCAGCUCAGCACAGCCUGGUCCAGAGAACCUAUUACAUCACCGUCUACCUCCACUUCGUAACUGGAUAAAGAAGACAGGAUCUUCUCUUUUUAUUUUUUUCUUUCUCAUGGACUCGAAUACAAAGUUACAGACUAAGAUAUAACAACAUUCUGUUAAAAUGUAGAUGCCAAGGGUAGCUAGCUGUUCCAGCCUGGCAUCUCAACUUUGCAGGUAGACUCCUUUAAAGGAAACCACUUCCUUGAACUAUAGACUAUCGGAGAUCCAGCUAAGUGUUGGCACUCCUGAUGAGAGUCAAGCAAACAGGAUCUCAUAUAAAGGGAAACUUCUGUGUAAUAUGCCGCGUGGUCAAGCUGCUCUGACCUCCUGUGGCUUCAAAGCUCGUCUGCUCUAUUGCACAACCCACAACCUCGAGAACAAUCGGCUCUUCCUGCCAGCAGCUUCUCUGCGUCCACCUGUCCCUACAGGUAGUAAAAGAGAAGAAGGAUCAGGAAUCGGUGUUUACACAACACUGCAGAGCGCUCUCUUCCUCCUGGCCCUGCCCCACCCCCAAUAUGCCGAUCUUUCCAUUUCAAAGCACUGGGUGGCUACGCUUCUAAAAUACUAUCGCAUCAUUGGCUACGAGCAGAGAAUUCAGGACAGAGGUGACACUGGACCACAGGGUGAGUGUCCCGGAGGAGGUCUGGGCGGGAACGUGCUCUGCAAGCAGCUAGUCAGCUAACAAGCUUCCUGUGAGUAAGGCUCUCCCCCUCUGCCCGGUCUCAGGAAUGCCCUCUCAUUCCUUUCAGAGGAGCUAAUGGCUUUAAAAUUCUAGCCCCAGAUCCAGAGUCUGAUGAGCUUCAUCCAGGGUCUUAACAGCCUGGACAGACCUGUCUUCCCGGAUUUCUGAGAAAGAGGUGAAUACUGACCUACACUCAAUGUUCUAGACUAAAAUCGCAGGUUUAGGAUAAAGAAAAAAAAACUUCUAUAUAAUCUAAUAAAAUCAACAUUUUACAGACAGAAAAUUGAAGCCUGGAUGGGGAAAAAAGACACAGUACAAAAAUGAAACGGCAGUUUAUUUCUAGUGGUAACCAUGAGGCAGUCUUUUAACGCAGGCUGUGCCUUUCUCCAUCAGCUACUUGUACGCUGCCCCAAGAGGCAGAUGCUGUGUAUCAGUCGGCAGUGAGCACACGGCUGCAAACCCAUCUCUAAGUUGGGAUGCCAUCAAGCACCAAAAACCAAGGGAAUUUAAGGUGCUCAUCAUUGAGGCUGGAAGAGAGGUGGCUAAGCUCCUUGACCUAAGGUUUAUUUGUUCUCAUCACUUGCCGUGAACCAGGGACACUCAAAGACGAAUGUUAGGAGGGCGGGUCUGGGACAGGGCAAAGUGACCUGCAUGCCAAG